Molecule: non-coding RNA, 76 nt
Organism: Myotis lucifugus (little brown bat)
Lineage: Eukaryota; Metazoa; Chordata; Mammalia; Chiroptera; Vespertilionidae
Source: Rfam
GAGAUACCCCUAUGGAACAAGAUUUGCUUCAGUGGGGUUUUGGUGCUCACUGAGUUUGUGCCUUGAGUGUGUCACU